Molecule: ribosomal RNA, 301 nt
Filed under: uncultured bacterium
Lineage: Bacteria
Description: partial 16S ribosomal RNA
Rfam family: Bacterial small subunit ribosomal RNA
Source: RNAcentral
CAGUAGCCGCGGUAAUACGUAGGUGGCAAGCGUUAAUCGGAAUUACUGGGCGUAAAGCGAGCGCAGACGGUUAUUUAAGCAGGAUGUGAAAUCCCCGGGCUUAACCUGGGAACUGCGUUCUGAACUGGAUAGCUAGAGUGUGUCAGAGGGGGGUAGAAUUCCACGUGUAGCAGUGAAAUGCGUAGAGAUGUGGAGGAAUACCGAUGGCGAAGGCAGCCCCCUGGGAUAAUACUGACGUUCAUGCUCGAAAGCGUGGGUAGCAAACAGGAUUAGAUACCCGGGUAGUCCCUGUCUCUUAUAC